GGAGGUGUGGCUGAGUGGUUGAAGGCGCCGCUCUCGAAAAGCGGUGUCGCCGACAAGGCGACCGGAGGUUCGAAUCCUCCCACCUCCG
Molecule: transfer RNA, 88 nt
Filed under: Candidatus Giovannonibacteria bacterium RIFCSPHIGHO2_01_FULL_43_140
Lineage: Bacteria; Candidatus Giovannoniibacteriota
Also listed under: 5 other names
Description: tRNA-Ser
Rfam family: tRNA
About the family: Transfer RNA (tRNA) molecules are approximately 80 nucleotides in length. Their secondary structure includes four short double-helical elements and three loops (D, anti-codon, and T loops).
Source: RNAcentral